ACGGGAGGCAGCAGUGGGGGACAUUGCACAAUGGGCGAAAGCCUGAUGCAGCGACGCCGCGUGAGUGAAGAAGUAUUUCGGUAUGUAAAGCUCUAUCAGCAGGGAAGAAAAAUGACGGUACCUGACUAAGAAGCACCGGCUAAAUACGUGCCAGCAGCCGCGGUAAUACGUAUGGUGCAAGCGUUAUCCGGAUUUACUGGGUGUAAAGGGAGCGCAGGCGGUACGGCAAGUCUGAUGUGAAAGCCCGGGGCUCAACCCCGGUACUGCAUUGGAAACUGUCGAACUAGAGUGUCGGAGGGGUAAGCGGAAUUCCUAGUGUAGCGGUGAAAUGCGUAGAUAUUAGGAGGAACACCAGUGGCGAAGGCGGCUUACUGGACGAUAACUGACGCUGAGGCUCGAAAGUGCGGGGAUCGAACAGGAUUAGAUACCCUGGUA
RNAcentral lists this ribosomal RNA (435 nucleotides) under uncultured Lachnospiraceae bacterium. Its description in RNAcentral is "partial 16S ribosomal RNA". It matches the Rfam family "Bacterial small subunit ribosomal RNA", at positions 341 to 792 of the family's 1533-position model. The record is from RNAcentral. Lineage: Bacteria; Bacillati; Bacillota; Clostridia; Lachnospirales; Lachnospiraceae.